UUGGCUAAGUCCGUUCGGC
Molecule: small nuclear RNA, 19 nt
Filed under: Arabidopsis thaliana (thale cress)
Lineage: Eukaryota; Viridiplantae; Streptophyta; Magnoliopsida; Brassicales; Brassicaceae
Description: snRNA_09633
Source: RNAcentral